UACGUAGGGUGCAAGCGUUGUCCGGAAUUAUUGGGCGUAAAGAGCUCGUAGGCGGUUGUUGCGUCGGCUGUGAAAUCCCGAGGCUCAACCUCGGGUCUGCAGUCGAUACGAGCAAACUAGAGUGUUGCAGGGGAGACUGGAAUUCCUGGUGUAGCGGUGAAAUGCGCAGAUAUCAGGAGGAACACCGGUGGCGAAGGCGGGUCUCUGGGCAACAACUGACGCUGGAGAAAGCGAAAGCGUGGGUAGCAAACAGG
Molecule: ribosomal RNA, 254 nt
Filed under: uncultured bacterium
Lineage: Bacteria
Description: partial 16S ribosomal RNA
Rfam family: Bacterial small subunit ribosomal RNA
Source: RNAcentral